GGUCUCGUAGUGUAGCGGUUAACACGCCUGCCUGUCACGCAGGAGAUGGCGGGUUCGAUUCCCGUCGAGACCGCCA
Molecule: transfer RNA, 76 nt
Filed under: Staphylococcus aureus
Lineage: Bacteria; Bacillati; Bacillota; Bacilli; Caryophanales; Staphylococcaceae
Description: tRNA-Asp(gtc)
Rfam family: tRNA
About the family: Transfer RNA (tRNA) molecules are approximately 80 nucleotides in length. Their secondary structure includes four short double-helical elements and three loops (D, anti-codon, and T loops).
Source: RNAcentral